RNAcentral lists this ribosomal RNA (465 nucleotides) under Vreelandella stevensii. RNAcentral describes it as "partial 16S ribosomal RNA". It matches the Rfam family "Bacterial small subunit ribosomal RNA", at positions 338 to 795 of the family's 1533-position model. Lineage: Bacteria; Pseudomonadati; Pseudomonadota; Gammaproteobacteria; Oceanospirillales; Halomonadaceae. The record is from RNAcentral.
CCUACGGGGGGCUGCAGUGGGGAAUAUUGGACAAUGGGCGAAAGCCUGAUCCAGCCAUGCCGCGUGUGUGAAGAAGGCCUUCGGGUUGUAAAGCACUUUCAGUGGGGAAGAAAGCCUUGGGGCUAAUACCCUCGAGGAAGGACAUCACCCACAGAAGAAGCACCGGCUAACUCCGUGCCAGCAGCCGCGGUAAUACGGAGGGUGCGAGCGUUAAUCGGAAUUACUGGGCGUAAAGCGCGCGUAGGCGGUCUGAUAAGCCGGUUGUGAAAGCCCCGGGCUCAACCUGGGAACGGCAUCCGGAACUGUCAGGCUAGAGUGCAGGAGAGGAAGGUAGAAUUCCCGGUGUAGCGGUGAAAUGCGUAGAGAUCGGGAGGAAUACCAGUGGCGAAGGCGGCCUUCUGGACUGACACUGACGCUGAGGUGCGAAAGCCUGGGUAGCAAACAGGAUUAGAUACCCUAGUAGUC